CGGACGGGUGGAGUAACACGUGGGUAACCUACCUAUAAGACUGGGACAACUUCGGGAAACCGGAGCUAAUACCGGAUAAGAUAUCGAACCGCAUGGUUCGAUAGUGAAAGAUGGUUUUGCUAUCACUUAUAGAUGGACCCGCGCCGUAUUAGCUAGUUGGUGAGGUAACGGCUCACCAAGGCAACGAUACGUAGCCGACCUGAGAGGGUGAUCGGCCACACUGGAACUGAGACACGGUCCAGACUCCUACGGGAGGCAGCAGCU
RNAcentral lists this ribosomal RNA (264 nucleotides) under uncultured Staphylococcus sp. RNAcentral describes it as "partial 16S ribosomal RNA". It matches the Rfam family "Bacterial small subunit ribosomal RNA", at positions 99 to 355 of the family's 1533-position model. The record is from RNAcentral. Lineage: Bacteria; Bacillati; Bacillota; Bacilli; Caryophanales; Staphylococcaceae.